RNA transcript from Rhinopithecus roxellana (golden snub-nosed monkey), 453 nucleotides. It is a transcript of the gene named peptidyl-prolyl cis-trans isomerase NIMA-interacting 4 pseudogene, with no coding region annotated. The record is from RefSeq and is a predicted model, not a curated record. Lineage: Eukaryota; Metazoa; Chordata; Mammalia; Primates; Cercopithecidae. The transcript has a single exon.
UCAACAACAAGCUUCCAAGAUGCCGCCCAAAGGAAAAAGUGGUUCUGUAAAAGCGGGGAAAGGGGGAGCAGCCUCUGGGAGUGACAGUGCUGACAAGAAGGCUCAAGGUCCCAAAGGUGGUGGCAAUGCAGUAAAGGUCAGACACAUUCUAUGUGAAAAACAUGGCAAAAUCAUGGAAGCCAUGGAAAAGUUAAAGUCUGGGAUGAGAUUCAAUGAAGUGGCCUCACAGUAUAGUGAAGAUAAAGCCAGGCAAGGGGGCGACUUGGGUUGGAUGACCAGAGGGUCCAUGGUGGGACCAUUUCAAGAAGCAGCAUUUGCCUUGCCUGUAAGUGGGAUGGAUAAGCCUGUGUUUACAGACCCACCGGUUAAGACAAAAUUUGGAUAUCAUAUUAUUAUGGUUGAAGGAAGAAAAUAAAAUCAUAUGAAAGACUGAAAAAAAAAAAAAAAAAAAAA